Dermacentor silvarum is the source of this 1674-nucleotide long non-coding RNA. RefSeq lists it as uncharacterized. The transcript has 3 exons. The record is from RefSeq and is a predicted model, not a curated record. Lineage: Eukaryota; Metazoa; Arthropoda; Arachnida; Ixodida; Ixodidae.
GCGUGCGAGGCGAUUGUUUUCGGCGGUAAUUAUCGUCAUAUCUUUGUACCGGCGACGUUAUACGACUGUGUUCGUGUUGUGAAGUGAUCUGGCCGCGUCGGUGAACGCUCUCGGUGAUGUCAGUGAUGUUCAAAUCCACCGUUGUUACCGGCAAUUGCAAAAAAGCAGUGCAACUUCGACAACUCGUGUGAGUACGACGGCCACACGGGCGAUCAGCGGCGGCGGGCCGCCAUGUGCGCUGGAUCGGCGGGCCCAGGAGUGCGUGCUGUAGAGCUGCGAACCUGUGCCUAUUUGGAAUAAAGUGGGACGUCAACAAUAAUAAGAACGCCACCCAUGAAAGCAGAACCCCGGGCUCUCCAUUGGAACUUUAGAGUGGACCACCGCACCGGUAUGACGGUCACCUGGAGGCCCAGGAGUCAUCAGGACAAAUAAUUCUGAAUAUAUAUAAAUGAUAUCUAAUGUGUUUGUGAUGACGGAGCAAUUAUGUCAAAAUGAAACACAUAUUUAAAAAUGUUUUUUUCUCUUGUUAGCAAUGUAUUCAUAAAAAACUUCACUUGGAUCUCUCUGCAUUCACCCAACCACUGCGGCAUGUAUACAGAGUGUGCUCCGCAAGACAAAAGAUUUUUUAUGUUGCUUGGCUCCCAAAAGAGUUCUUCAAUUCAAAUACGUACAAGGUGUGUUCGAAAAGAAACCAAACUUUUGCUUUAACAUCUUUAUUGCUUAUUGUACAACAUUUUAUGCAUGGCCCCUUCAAAGUAGUCCCCUCUUCUGGCAAUACAUUGUUCCUAUCAUCUCAUCCAUUUUUUGAAAGCCUCCUGGAACACUUUUUCUGGGAUGGCGCGUAGGUCUCGUGUCGCAUUGUCUUGAAAUUUCUUUUAUGUGUUGGAAACGACGUCCUUUCAACGUGAUUUUAAGUUCGGGAAACAGGAAAAAGGCUUCUUGGGCUAGGUCUGGAAAGUACGGUGGGUGGGGCACGAGAGUGUGAUGUUUUGCUAGAUAGCCGCAUACAAGGAGAGACGCGUGAACUAGGUCAUUGUCAUGUUGCAACAAUUAAGUCUGGCUUUCCCACAAUUCAGGCUUCCUACUGGACACAGCAUCCCACAAACGCGCUAGAAUUCCUUGGUAGACCGCCUUGUUUCUCACCACGUGGUACAAAUUCCUGAUGGACUAUAUCUUUCCAGUCGGAAACCACCACCAUUACCUUGAUUUUUUUGCUGACUCUUGCGUGCUUUCUUGGACGAGAAGACUGUUCGCCCACCCACUGCGACGACUGCACUUUUGUUUCAAUAUCAGAGCCAUAAACCCACGUCUCAUUGCCUGUUGUGAUGUUACAGAAGUUUUCAUUAUCUCUGCCAGUGGCAUGCAGUUCCCGGCUUAUUUCAACACAGGUGUUUCUGAUCGACAGUCAACAAACGCGGCACGAAUUUUGCACUGACACGAUGCAUCUCAAGUUUGUCAUUCACAAUAGGAUGCCAUGAUCCUAUGCUGAUGCCCACUUCGUCAGCUAGUUCUCAAACAGCUAAACGACGAUUUCCACGAAUCACAGCACGCACUCUCUCGACAUGGUCAUCAUCUGUUAAUGUGGAAGGUCGUCCAGGCUUGGGAUCGUCACCAACCGACAUUCUGCCUUGUUCAAAAUGCUUAAACUACUCAUAGCACUGAGUGCGACUCAUA